This 496-nucleotide ribosomal RNA is filed under the name uncultured bacterium. RNAcentral's name for it is "partial 16S ribosomal RNA". It matches the Rfam family "Bacterial small subunit ribosomal RNA", at positions 29 to 507 of the family's 1533-position model. The record is from RNAcentral.
AUGAACGCUGGCGGCGUGCCUCAUACAUGCCAGUCGAGCGCACAGACGAGGAGCUUGCUCCUCCGACGUUAGCGGCGGACGGGUGAGUAACACGUGGAUAACCUACCUAUAAGACUGGGAUAACUUCGGGAAACCGGAGCUAAUACCGGAUAAUAUAUUGAACCGCAUGGUUCAAUAGUGAAAGACGGUUUUGCUGUCACUUAUAGAUGGAUCCGCGCCGCAUUAGCUAGUUGGUAAGGUAACGGCUUACCAAGGCGACGAUGCGUAGCCGACCUGAGAGGGUGAUCGGCCACACUGGAACUGAGACACGGUCCAGACUCCUACGGGAGGCAGCAGUAGGGAAUCUUCCGCAAUGGGCGAAAGCCUGACGGAGCAACGCCGCGUGAGUGAUGAAGGUCUUCGGAUCGUAAAACUCUGUUAUUAGGGAAGAACAAAUGUGUAAGUAACUAUGCACGUCUUGACGGUACCUAAUCAGAAAGCCACGGCUAACUACGUG